AUAAGAUUAAGUUAGAUAAGACUGAAUAUUUUCAAAAUAUUUAGGGACUUUUGUCAUCUUAUG
RNAcentral lists this transfer RNA (63 nucleotides) under Taenia regis. Its description in RNAcentral is "tRNA-Trp". Lineage: Eukaryota; Metazoa; Platyhelminthes; Cestoda; Cyclophyllidea; Taeniidae. The record is from RNAcentral.